Molecule: long non-coding RNA, 211 nt
Filed under: Physcomitrium patens
Lineage: Eukaryota; Viridiplantae; Streptophyta; Bryopsida; Funariales; Funariaceae
Description: long non-coding RNA (PPAT_LNC010854)
Source: RNAcentral
UGAUCCUCAAACGCUCAACGAAGCUAUUAGCCAAGCUGUAAAGUGUGACAACCGCCUAUUCCAGCGUCGCCAAGACCAACGUCCAAGACACCAAAUGACUCGUUACGACGUGACUAUGUCUGCAAAUAGCUUAAACUCACAUUCGGAGGCAACAGACAUGCAAAUCGACACGGUGCGUGUCCGAUCUCUUACUCCAACAGAGAAGAAACGG